RNAcentral lists this long non-coding RNA (316 nucleotides) under Trifolium pratense (red clover). RNAcentral describes it as "long non-coding RNA (TPRA_LNC014091)". The record is from RNAcentral. Lineage: Eukaryota; Viridiplantae; Streptophyta; Magnoliopsida; Fabales; Fabaceae.
AUUAAUUUUAUAUUAUUUUUUUAACAAAUUAUUACUAUUCUUAUUCUUAUUUAUUUAUUUAUUUAUAUUUUAAUGCUUUAUUAUUAUCUAUCUCAGAGGUAAGAACACGCCACCGCUUUUACUCUACGGCGAAACUGCUCUCGAUCUCGCUCGUUCACGAUCUUCCUCCGCUCUGGUCUUGCUCUGUUCACGAUCUCGCUUCGAUCUCACUCUCCUCAAUACAUCUCGCUGCGGUUGCUAUUCUUCGUUGAAAUUUGAUGAUGUCUUCUGUUUCUUCUCCGAUUGCAGUGUAACUUAAAUUUCAACACUCUAAUUU